Molecule: microRNA precursor, 93 nt
Filed under: Nicotiana sylvestris (wood tobacco)
Lineage: Eukaryota; Viridiplantae; Streptophyta; Magnoliopsida; Solanales; Solanaceae
Also listed under: 1 other name
Description: MIR6152 microRNA precursor family
Rfam family: MIR6152 microRNA precursor family
Source: Rfam by way of RNAcentral
UGCACAGAUUAUUGUAUUCGACUGUAUUCACGGAGUGAAGAGGAUUAUACUAUUUUUUAACGGAAAGUGAAUCAAUUAACAUAAUAGACUCCU